GGAGGAAAAGAAACCAACAGGGAUUGCCUCAGUAACGGCGAGUGAAGCGGCAACAGCUCAAAUUUGAAAUCUGGAGCCUUCGGCUUCCGAGUUGUAAUUUGAAGAGGAUGUUUCGGUGCGACCUGGGCCUAAGUUCCUUGGAACAGGACGUCAUGGAGGGUGAGAAUCCCGUACAUGGCUGCAGGUUUGCUUCUAUGUGAAACUCCUUCGAAGAGUCGAGUUGUUUGGGAAUGCAGCUCAAAAUGGGUGGUAAAUUUCAUCUAAAGCUAAAUAUUGGCGGGAGACCGAUAGCGCACAAGUAGAGUGAUCGAAAGAUGAAAAGCACUUUGAAAAGAGAGUUAAACAGUACGUGAAAUUGUUGAAAGGGAAGCGCUUGCAAUCAGACUCGCCUUCAGUUGAUCAGCCUUCCUUCUGGUUGGUGCACUCUGCUGUUGGCGGGCCAGCAUCAGUUGGGGCGGUGGGAUAAAGGCAGCGGGAAUGUGGCUCCUCUCGGGGAGUGUUAUAGCCUGUUGUGUCAUGCCACCAGUCCCGACUGAGGUCCGCGGUUCGCCUAGGAUGCUGGCUUAAUGGUUGUAAGCGACCCGUCUUGAAACACGGACCAAGGAGUCUAACAUCUAUGCGAGUCUUUGGGUGUAAAACCCAUGGGCGAAAUGAAAGUGAACGGAGGUGGGAGUCUUCGGAUGCACCAUCGACCGAUCCUGAUGUUCUCGGAUGGAUUUGAGUAUGAGCAUAGCUGUUGGGACCCGAAAGAUGGUGAACUAUGCCUGAAUAGGGUGAAGCCAGAGGAAACUCUGGUGGAGGCUCGCAGCGGUUCUGACGUGCAAAUCGAUCGUCAAAUUUGGGUAUAGGGGCGAAAGACUAAUCGAACCAUCUAGUAGCUGGUUCCUGCCGAAG
Molecule: ribosomal RNA, 894 nt
Filed under: Orbilia javanica
Lineage: Eukaryota; Fungi; Ascomycota; Orbiliomycetes; Orbiliales; Orbiliaceae
Description: LSU rRNA
Rfam family: Eukaryotic large subunit ribosomal RNA
Source: RNAcentral